Delphinapterus leucas (beluga whale) is the source of this 538-nucleotide non-coding RNA. NCBI's taxonomy places the organism in Eukaryota, Metazoa, Chordata, Mammalia, Artiodactyla, Monodontidae. The record is from RefSeq and is a predicted model, not a curated record.
ACAAGCUGUGAUGCCUUUGAGAUCAGUACCGGCACAGGGGCUGUUAUCAAGGUUAUACAAAGGUAGUGCCGGAAACAACCAUCAGCAGCAUCAAUCACAAGAAGAAAACCAGGUUGGCAGCCCCAGGAAGCUGGAGUGGAGUGUGACAACAGCCAGUUCUUGAGCACUGACUCUAUGCCUGGAAAUGUUCUAAGUGCUUCACCUGUAGGAACCCUUGUAUUCCUCAAAACAACUCUUCCUAGGUUAAUGUGGCCUGAAAACAUUCCUCUGGAAGCAAUGGAGCAGCAAAUACCUUUCUCAUAUGCACCGCCUGCGAGAGUGGCACUUGAAUUAGUUCCAACAGAACUGGAGAGGAGGAGAGGAGAGGCACACGUCUGAAAUGCCCAUCACGAGUCAGGCACUGGCCCAGGUGUGUUACCACGCAUCCGAUGCUCACAGCAAUCCUUCCAUGGAUCACUUCCAUUUCUAUUCUGUAGUUUAGGAAACAGGCUCAGAGAAGCUAAGCAAAUUUCCCAAAGUCCCACAGCCACAAAGUUGC